Molecule: long non-coding RNA, 880 nt
Filed under: Monodelphis domestica (gray short-tailed opossum)
Lineage: Eukaryota; Metazoa; Chordata; Mammalia; Didelphimorphia; Didelphidae
Description: lncRNA (ENSMODG00000045538.1)
Source: RNAcentral
CUUCUUGACUCCAAAUCUCAAGCACUUUCCACCAUACCAUCUUUACGUCCAAAACUAUCCUCGAAGAUACAAAGAAAGUUGACAAUGGCAAAAUGGAGAAACUGAGGACUAGAAGGUCAAGGACUACAUAUUUAGAAUAGUAAGAGAAUUUUGAAAGUACUUAGUUGAAAACCCUGAUUUUGCAGAUGAAGAAACUGAACUGUAAAGAGAGAAUAUACCUUUCCCUAAGUCACAGGUUAGUAGAAGGCAAAUCUGGGAUUUAGAUCCACUCCUCUGGUUCCUUAUUUAGCACUGUGACUUUGAAAACAUAACAACAGAGAUACAUUUGUUCCAUGAAAUAAUGAUUGUAAAUAUUAAACAAGGCAUAAAAUAGAAAGAGGUACUCCAUAUGCUUUAUGUCUAUAUUGAUAGAUAAUGUAUGGGACAAAGGAAGAGCCAAUGAGGGACAGACAUGCACUGCUGGUUAUGACAGAAGCAAACACUUUUGAAAAAUGUGUAUCUGCUUGGUUUUUUUAUUCCUCAUUUGAUAUUUAUGACAGAACCAGUAUUUCUCUUUCAAGGAAUCUUUUGUGGUUUUAAUAAGUAGAAGAGAAAUGUUGGGGACAGCUUUGAAGAGGUUGGAAAUGCAGAAAUCAUUAUCUCAAUCCCGCUUUGAUCAUCACCUGAGCCUUGAUCUGAUUUGUCUCCCACUUUCAGGGGUUUUCCAUAUUAAUGUUGAACUUAAGGAAGACAAACAAUCAACUUCAUCUACUGUUUCUCAGAACUUCUGAGCUCAAAAGAGAUGCUAGCUUUAGCUUUCCUGAAUAUCAAUAAGUUCUUCUUCUUCUUUUUUAUCAUUGUUAUUUUAUAGUAGUUAUCAAAAAUAAUUAAAUAUAGUGAG